RNAcentral lists this ribosomal RNA (406 nucleotides) under uncultured bacterium. RNAcentral describes it as "partial 16S ribosomal RNA". It matches the Rfam family "Bacterial small subunit ribosomal RNA", at positions 30 to 526 of the family's 1533-position model. The record is from RNAcentral.
AUUGAACGCUGGCGGCAGUCCUAACACAUGCAAGUCGAACGAGUGGCGGACGGGUGAGUAAUGUCUGGGAAACUGCCCGAUGGAGGGGGAUAACUACUGGCAACGGUAGCUAAUACCGCAUACCAUCGGAUGUGCCCAGAUGGGAUUAGCUAGUAGGUGGGGUAACGGCUCACCUAGGCGACGAUCCCUAGCUGGUCUGAGCGGAUGACCGGCCACACUGGAACUGAGACACGGGCAAGAAUCCUACGGGAGGCAGCAGUGGGGAAUAUUGCACAAUGGGCGAAAGCCUGAAGCAGCAAUGCCGCGUGAAUGAAGAAGGCCUUCGGGUUGUAAAGUACUUUGAGCGAGGAGGCGUUACUCGCAGAAGAAGCACCGGCUAACUACGUGCCAGCAGCCGCGGUAAUUC